RNAcentral lists this ribosomal RNA (163 nucleotides) under uncultured bacterium. RNAcentral's name for it is "partial 16S rRNA". It matches the Rfam family "Bacterial small subunit ribosomal RNA", at positions 355 to 511 of the family's 1533-position model. The record is from RNAcentral.
UAGGGAAUCUUCCACAAUGGGCGAAAGCCUGAUGGAGCAACGCCGCGUGUGUGAUGAAGGGUUUCGGCUCGUAAACACUGUUGUAAGAGAAGAAUGACAUUGAGUGUAACUGUUCAAUGUGUGACGGUAUCUUACCAGAAAGGAACGGCUAAAUACGUGCCAG